AAGAAGACAAACUAUGGAUUUUCGUGUCCAACUUUGACUGUCUGUCUUAUAUAAAAUUUUUUUAUAAUUUGUAUUUUCAUUGUUGUUAGAUGAUUAAACAUGAUUAAUAUUUUAUGCGUGACUUGUCUUUUUAAUUUUUUUCAUAAUUUUUUCAAAUAAAACGGACGGUCAAAUGUUGGAUACGGAAACCAAGGUUUGUCUUUUUU
Oryza glumipatula is the source of this 206-nucleotide non-coding RNA. The record is from Rfam. NCBI's taxonomy places the organism in Eukaryota, Viridiplantae, Streptophyta, Magnoliopsida, Poales, Poaceae.